Molecule: ribosomal RNA, 484 nt
Filed under: uncultured bacterium
Lineage: Bacteria
Description: partial 16S ribosomal RNA
Rfam family: Bacterial small subunit ribosomal RNA
Source: RNAcentral
AUUGAACGCUGGCGGCAUGCUUUACACAUGCAAGUCGAACGGCAGCGCGGGCUUCGGCCUGGCGGCGAGUGGCGAACGGGUGAGUAAUACAUCGGAACGUGCCCAGUAGUGGGGGAUAGCUCGGCGAAAGCCGGAUUAAUACCGCAUACGACCUGAUGUUGAAAGCGGGGGAUCUUCGGACCUCGCGCUAUUGGAGCGGCCGAUGGCAGAUUAGCUAGUUGGUGGGGUAAAGGCCUACCAAGGCGACGAUCUGUAGCUGGUCUGAGAGGACGACCAGCCACACUGGGACUGAGACACGGCCCAGACUCCUACGGGAGGAAGCAGUGGGGAAUUUUGGACAAUGGGCGAAAGCCUGAUCCAGCAAUGCCGCGUGUGUGAUGAAGGCCUUCGGGUUGUAAAGCACUUUUGGCGGGAACGAAAAGGACUGUGCCAAUACCACGGUUCGAUGACGGUACCCGCAGAAUAAGCACCGGCUAACUACGUG